RNAcentral lists this ribosomal RNA (536 nucleotides) under uncultured bacterium. RNAcentral describes it as "bacterial SSU rRNA". It matches the Rfam family "Bacterial small subunit ribosomal RNA", at positions 8 to 526 of the family's 1533-position model. The record is from RNAcentral.
AGAGUUUGAUCAUGGCUCAGAGCGAACGUUAGCGGCGGGCUUAACACAUGCAAGUCGAGCGAGAAAGGGGCUUCGGCCCUGAGUAAAGCGGCGGACGGGUGAGUAACACGUAGGUAAUCUUCCCUUGAGCGGGGGACAACGGUCCGAAAGGACCGCUAAUACCGCAUACGUUUCCAGGGAUCUCGGUCCUUGGAAGGAAAGCUAGGUCGCAAGAUCCGGCACUCGAGGAGGAGCCUGCGUCGCAUCAGCUAGUUGGUGGGGUAAUGGCCUACCAAGGCGAAGACGCGUAGCUGGUCUGAGAGGAUGAUCAGCCACACUGGGACUGAGACACGGCCCAGACUCCUACGGGAGGCAGCAGUGGGGAAUAUUGGACAAUGGGCGCAAGCCUGAUCCAGCCACGCCGCGUGAGUGAUGAAGGCCUUCGGGUCGUAAAGCUCUGUGGGGAGGGACGAACCGCUGCGCGUUCAUAGCGCGCAGCAUGACGGUACCUCCUUAGCAAGCACCGGCUAACUUCGUGCCAGCAGCCGCGGUAAUAC